This is a long non-coding RNA of Lagenorhynchus albirostris (white-beaked dolphin), 495 nucleotides long. RefSeq lists it as uncharacterized. The transcript is spliced from 3 exons. Lineage: Eukaryota; Metazoa; Chordata; Mammalia; Artiodactyla; Delphinidae. The record is from RefSeq and is a predicted model, not a curated record.
AACAUUUCAGAUAGAGGGAAAAGUAUGUUCAGAAGGGAAAGAGGGGAAUUCCCUAGCCGUCCAGCGGUUAAGACUCCACGCUUCCACUGCAGGGGACGCGGGUGAGAUCCCUGGUUGGGGAAUUAAGAUCCUGCAUGCCACAUGGCACGGUGCCGCCAAACAAACAAAAAACAGAAGGGAAAGAGCCUGGAGGCUGAGUCAGCAGAGUACACCAACCAGAUCCCUCUGCCAACUCGCUUCUGCUGCUUCUGGGGAGGUGCUGCCGAGGGGAAGCGCUGCAAAAGAAAACAGGAAUAUAUGUGGAAGGAGAGAAAGAAGACAGAAUCAGGAUGAUACCUAGAAUUCCGGUUUGGGCCCAGGGUGGAGCCAGUCACUGCUGAGAUGGAGACCACAGACAGAUGAAGAGUUUGGGGGUCGGGAUGGGGGAGUAAAUGAUCUAUCAUAAACUAGAAAAUAUAUAUUUUUGGAAAUUCAUUAAAAUUUUUUCUAGAUCCU